RNAcentral lists this long non-coding RNA (3263 nucleotides) under Triticum aestivum (bread wheat). Its description in RNAcentral is "long non-coding RNA (TAES_LNC009504)". The record is from RNAcentral. Lineage: Eukaryota; Viridiplantae; Streptophyta; Magnoliopsida; Poales; Poaceae.
UCGAAUACAUAAACUCAAAUACACAAGAGUCAGCAAAAGUGACUAUAUCUGAGUACAGAUAUAAGUAAACAAGUUUGCCUUUAAAAGGCUAGCAAAACAACAACAUCUGGGCCGAAAAGGCGCAUGCCUCCUGCUUGGGAGCCUCCUAACUACACCUGGUCAUCGGUGGUCUCCACGUAGUAGUAGGCUCCGUCGGGGUAGUCGUAGUCGUCAGCAGGAUCAGCUGGCUCCUGGACUCUGUCAUCUGAUCAAAGCAAUCGGGUAUAGGGGAAAAGAGGUAGCAAAGCAACCGUGAAUACUCAUCAAAAGUACUCGGAAAACUUACAUCAAAUCUAUACUAAGUAUGCAUCGGUAUCAAAGGAAUGAGACUAUAUCUUUGGGCUAAACUGCAGAAAUGCCAGAAUAGAAGGGAAGGUCUAGCCUAUCGAAGACUACCAUCUUUCUUAGUAAAGUGCAAAUUAGCGGUAACAAGUAUAUUGUAGUAACGCCCAAUGAUCCUUUCUCGACUCCCUGCGAGAAAGUAAUCCCGGAAAGCCAUCAUAUCCAUUUAGAAUCUCCGGUAUCCAGUUCUAGAUGUAAUAGACCAGGAUACAACUAAGAGCGUCUGUUACCGUCGACAUGGAUAUUCGAAUAGACAAAUUGCCCUACAGGGGUGCACAAACUUACACAAAACGCUCGAUUAACUUUGGUCGGGCUCACUUUUCCAAGUCAUGCCCGGCCUCAACUGGUCGACACACCGUAGUCCUACCUAGACUCAACAGAGAGGCCAGCAUGCUGGUCUACAUCCUAAGUGCUCAGGGGUCUUUGGCCAUCGCCCCUUGCACUCCUGCACCCCUUGCACUCCUGCACGUUGUGUACGCGGCCUAGCACUACACCACGAAAAAAUAUUAGGGCAAUCAACUGCCGGCAAAGAUAGUGGCAGGUAAAGCAGGUAAAACAUUGAGAACCAAGCCCAGUACCUGCCACUAUCUUCGUCCCAUCAAUUAACUAGAUAGUUAACAACCAAGCACAUUCAGGACAUGCAUAGAUUAAUGCAAAGACAGUAAAACAUGAAUUCUGUAAGUUACUGCAAAGCAGAGCAAGUUCCCUCUGACUUAAUGGUGCCACUUGUCUCAUGACUAACGUUACUGCAGAAAAAUGAGAGUGAAAAUAAAACAGAAAUAAUGUUGAAAUCACAGCAAGAUGGAGGACCAUUAACUGCAACUUCCUCUUUAGCUUCAAUUCAUACACCCAACAGAACACCACAAAGGGCCUGAUUGGAAUGAUUCCUGAUAUCUCUAGGUAAUGAAUUUGAACUAACACUAAUUAGCACAUAGGAAUUGAUCAACACAAGGACGGAUAUGAAAGAUAAAGAUUAGAAGAAUAACAGCCAGCGUCAUAUGUUAGGCUUGUUCUUGUUGAUCAACUUAAUCAGCGAGGUUGUUCUUGUUGCAGCCAUGCUAAAAUAUAACCGGAAGUACAUAUGCCAAGCAGCUGAGCAUUAAUAUGUUAAUUAGAUAUGACAAUGAAACAAACAAGUAUUUACCGCUAGGCACAUAUCUUCCAAACAUCCAUGUUUUCACCAACAACAGCCCGUCCUAUACUAUUUUUUAUUUAAAUACCAUAUCCUGCAGCAAGCAGAUGCAUAUAGUCAAGCAUAAUAAGAUCUUUAUAUUUAUGAACCGAAGCAUCAUACAGGCCAUAAAAAUAAAUAGAAACCGUGAUGCCACUGGACUUCCUUGUAGUAUUUGUAUUCCUUCUAACUGCAAAAAACAAAAGGAUAAUUUCAAAGGUUUAUGUUCCAGUUUUCUUACUUGGACACCCCAAAGUGGCUAUGAUCUUGCGGUAAAUUUCUAAAUCCACAAAAUUAAUGUGUCUAUUGGCUCUAUGGAUUGCGUUUUGACAUGUAUUACUGAAAUUCCCUUUAUAUGUAUGGAUCAUGGUCUGAAAGUAUGCAUACAAACCACCAAUCUCUCUGUUUACAGUUAUAGCUCAAUGCAACAGAGUAAAAGAAAAGCAUACAUAAGUGCGUGUGAUGCUAUGGCAGAUUAUUUGGACUUUUGGACAUCAAAAUGGUUGGUAGAGCGAAGAAGAGUGCAACUGGACAAAGCACCAAACAAUCUGCAUGGUACAGAUCUGAUCUAACAUCCAUUCACCGGUUGAGAUGAAUGACAUAGGCUAAGCUUUGGGUUUCGACCAAUCGGUACAGAGUUAAAAGAAACCUGGUACGUUCUGGAAUGAUUCCCUGGCCGAGCACAUAUCUCAAACACCCCUGUUGUCAUACCUAAUACCAAAAAUCAGAGCAAAAGUCAAUUACAAACGUAACUGAAAACUCAUGUAGGACUGAAGGCUUAUUGGGUUAUUUAUGCAGCUAUUAUGAAAUAAGGCACUAUAAAGCCUAUCAUUCAGGAUAAAGUAAAUUAUACAAAAUAAGAAGUUUGUGUGAAUCUUACUAGUUCCCAACAUAAUUAACUAAAAAAGGAGUUGCAGAUGGCAAGAAUCAGCACCAAACCAGGAUCUGCUUCUGCCAAGCUUCCCAAAUAAUUAUUUAGCAAUGUGGCAUAGGACAACGAUUUAGUAAAGUACCAGGCCUUAUCUAAUUCUGUACCGAGCUAAUACAGACAGGAUCCCCAUUGAGGCUAUAGGGGCACUAAGCAUCGAUCUUAACCAGUAGUACGUGACUGGCGAUGGUACUGGAUCCGAAUGCAAAGGGGGUUCAGCUCGAGCCUCCUGCCUACCAGAUCCGAUUAGACUGUAGCCAAUUUACUAGAUGAGCACAAGAACAAAAAUCUGCAUGUCACAACACAACAAAACAAGUAUGAAAAAAAUUAGAGUUGACCGAGCACGAACAGAGCUCAAGGGCGGCCUCUAGCUGCGACUCACUCCGUGGUUAUUGCUGUUGCUUCAAGUGGACGUACGGGUAGUUGGCAGAAGAGUGGAGACGUCACUCUGCUGCUGCUGUUGUGCGAGGGGAAGUAGGGGGCGAGUAAGUAGACGGUGCGGGUGAGGCGUCGUGGACGGGGAUGGUGGCGGCGGCGGAGUGUGUGAAGGAUGCAGUGCAGGUGCGACGGCGUGGGUGGUGAACCGGGUGGAGCUGCGGUGUGGAUGGGGAAUCGGGCGGCGGCGCUGGUUGGGGAUGCGGAUGCGGAUGCGGAUGCGGCGGCGAUGGUGAUGGCGGACGGCAUGGGUGGGGCGUCCUGGACAGAGAUGGGGCGGCGGGGUGGAUAGGGGAUGCAGUGGCGGCGGCGUGGGUGGGGAUGCCUGUGGCUGGGGGAAGAAAGAAG